CCUACGGGAGGCAGCAGUGAGGAAUAUUGGUCAAUGGGCGCGAGCCUGAACCAGCCAAGUCGCGUGAGGGAGUACUGCCCUAUGGGUUGUAAACCUCUUUUGUCGGGGAGCAAAAGCCGGACGUGUCCGGCUGUGAGAGUACUCGAAGAAAAAGCAUCGGCUAACUCCGUGCCAGCAGCCGCGGUAAUACGGAGGAUGCGAGCGUUAUCCGGAUUUAUUGGGUUUAAAGGGUGCGCAGGCGGAUUUUUAAGUCAGCGGGAAAAUCGUGGGGCUCAACCCCAUCCAGCCGUUGAAACUGGGGAUCUAGAGUGUGCGAGAGGUAUGCGGAAUUCGUGGUGUAGCGGUGAAAUGCAUAGAUAUCACGCAGAACCCCGAUUGCGAAGGCAGCAUACCGGUGCACAACUGACGCUCAGGCACGAAAGCGUGGGUAUCGAACAGGAUUAGAUACCCCAGUAGUC
Molecule: ribosomal RNA, 458 nt
Filed under: uncultured bacterium
Lineage: Bacteria
Description: partial 16S ribosomal RNA
Rfam family: Bacterial small subunit ribosomal RNA
Source: RNAcentral